RNAcentral lists this ribosomal RNA (492 nucleotides) under uncultured bacterium. RNAcentral's name for it is "partial 16S ribosomal RNA". It matches the Rfam family "Bacterial small subunit ribosomal RNA", at positions 29 to 507 of the family's 1533-position model. The record is from RNAcentral.
AGUGAACGCUGGCGGUAGGCCUAACACAUGCAAGUCGAACGGCAGCACAGUAAGAGCUUGCUCUUACGGGUGGCGAGUGGCGGACGGGUGAGGAAUACAGCGGAAUCUACUUUUUCGUGGGGGAUAACGUAGGGAAACUUACGCUAAUACCGCAUACGACCUACGGGUGAAAGCAGGGGAUCUUCGGACCUUGCGCGAUUGAAUGAGCCGAUGUCGGAUUAGCUAGUUGGCGGGGUAAAGGCCCACCAAGGCGACGAUCCGUAGCUGGUCUGAGAGGAUGAUCAGCCACACUGGAACUGAGACACGGUCCAGACUCCUACGGGAGGCAGCAGUGGGGAAUAUUGGACAAUGGGCGCAAGCCUGAUCCAGCCAUACCGCGUGGGUGAAGAAGGCAUUCGGGUUGUAAAGCCCUUUUGUUGGGAAAGAAAAGCAGCAGGUUAAUACCCCGCUGUUAUGACGGUACCCAAAGAAUAAGCACCGGCUAACUUCGUG